This is a long non-coding RNA of Papaver somniferum (opium poppy), 273 nucleotides long. RefSeq lists it as uncharacterized. The transcript has 3 exons. NCBI's taxonomy places the organism in Eukaryota, Viridiplantae, Streptophyta, Magnoliopsida, Ranunculales, Papaveraceae. The record is from RefSeq and is a predicted model, not a curated record.
CCCAAAUCUGACCAGUACUUUUCAUCUCUAAUCAAUGAGGAGAAGCCAAAGAUCCGUAAAUACUGUCAUUGUUAAGGUCUUAUCUGUCGCAUUCCUCUAGGAUAGUACGUGUGUAACAUGACAGAACACUCGGUUUGUCGUGCACGUAUGCAGCAGUUUCCACUACUUGACAUGGAUUUAAAUUCAAGACUUAUGGUGUCACUGUCACACAUGCUCAUGAGCUAGAUAAUCUAUAUGACCUGCUUCAAUCUAAUUCAAAGAGGGAUUACUUGG